CAUUGAAAGGCGCUUGUUUGACAGAAGCAACAAGAAACGAAGCUUUCUUCGAGAUUCAAUCGUCUGAUACCAGUGGAUUGACUGUCUUUGAUUACAUUUCAUCAUUUUUAUGUCCUGGCAAUUGUUCUGAAAAUGGAGUUUGCGUAAACGCCACUUGUUCGUGUUUCGAUGGUUUUCUUGGUUCCGAUUGUUCUGGAAAACUCUCUGUUCCCCCAAAAGAUUUUCUUCUACCUUCAAAUGGAUUGUGUGAUAUCAGUUCCAGGGGAUGUCUCAAAACAAACAUCUUGGGAUUUUUCGAUGUUGAAAAUGUCACAGCUAAGUUUGAAUACUUUCAGGUGAAGAAUAAUGUGAUCCAUACAACAAAUCACGUUAAAAUAGAAAGCACAACUUACUAUAACUACAACAAGAUCACUGCUGAGAUACCCAAACCUCCUGAGUCACUACGGCGAAGGAGAGCAGCAAGUGUAAACUCAGUGGUGUAUGGAUGGAAUAUAUCACUCAGCUAUGACGGGUAAACGUACAGCAGUCACGUGACCAUGCUAAUAUUUGAUGGACAGGUUUACAAAUGUGACGCUCGAACGCUUGUUUGCAGUUCUUUGAAUCAAAUGACUACGGAUUCCCCGACUGAUACC
Saccostrea cuccullata (small rock oyster) is the source of this 632-nucleotide RNA transcript. RefSeq lists it as uncharacterized. The transcript is spliced from 4 exons. The record is from RefSeq and is a predicted model, not a curated record. NCBI's taxonomy places the organism in Eukaryota, Metazoa, Mollusca, Bivalvia, Ostreida, Ostreidae.